This 1426-nucleotide long non-coding RNA is filed under the name Podarcis muralis (Common wall lizard). RNAcentral describes it as "lncRNA (ENSPMRG00000003037.1)". The record is from RNAcentral. Lineage: Eukaryota; Metazoa; Chordata; Lepidosauria; Squamata; Lacertidae.
GGAGGUGUGUGCGAAGGAAACUGUGUGAAUACGCUGCAUAAACACUGUAUUCUUAAAGCACAUUGGGAGCACGCUCUUUGCCUCAAAGAAUUCUGGGAAUUGUAGUUUACCCUUCGCAGAACUACAACUCCCAGCAGCGCCCAGAAUUCUUUAAGCGGGAGAAACGGCCUCCCAAUGUGCUUCCGAGAGGCGCUCGGGAGCCGUUGGUGGCGUUGGAAAGCCCUUAGCCCCACCUCCCUCUGGCCCCGCCCUUCCUCGCUCAGCCCUGCCUCCUCCGUCUCCGCGCGCAUGCGUGGUCGGGCCGGGCCGGCUGUGGGGGGGGGGGACUCGGUCUCGGUCCUCUCCGCCUCUUCGUCCCCGUCCCCCCCCGCGGCGGCGGCGGCGCUUCUUCCCUCGUCCCCGGAGGAAGGACGGGUCCACGCUGUAAGCCGAAGUUCACAACAGCCUGCACUGCUCACCGAAAAGCUGUUUCUCUGAAGGCUGCCUUACCAUGCGUGCUGUAUCCCAGAGAAUGCUGCAGUUGGGCCAAUGUGCUCCCUUUUGUCCAAAAGAAAGAAACUGCUUUAGGGACUUUCUUAUAUACCCUGAACAUAUCCUUGGAAAUAGACAUUACCUUCAUACUGUCCUGAGUGUUCUCCCUCCCACCAUCUUCCUCCAGAUCAGGAUGGCAGGAGGUCUGCAGAGCCUACAGGGACACAAAGAGCCAUACGGGAUAUUUUUAUUUUUCUGAACCUCAAAAUAGGCCUCAGACAGUUACAGAGAGACCUUUCCCGAGUAACCUUAGGGACGUAUAUUAGACCUCAGACCUUUUGCAUAUUCAUACAUUUUUUUAGAUUUAUACAAUCCAUAUUUAUGAAUGGCCAGUUUAUAACCAUAAGGCUAAAAUAGCGCAGAGGGGGGAAGUAAAUAAGGCUGGGGUAGAAUGAACGACCACGGGCUGAAAACUGAUUUACUAAGGGUGAAAUCCUAACUGCACUUACCUAGGAGUAAGAGCCACUGCUCACAGUCCUCUUCAAGGUCUUCUACAAUUAGGUCUUCUGAAUGGAAAAGAAGAGAAGGCUGGCAGUUAGAGAGACUUUCUUAUAUACGCUGAAAAUAUUCUUGGAAAUAGACAUUCCCUUCAUGUUGUCUUGGGCCUUUCUUGAGCUCCUCCAUUGAAGGAGCUCUUCUGCCAUCCUUCUCCACAUGAGGAAGGGAGGAGGUAUGCAGAGCCUACAGGAAAAACAAAGAGCCACAUGUGAUAUGUUUAUUUUUCUGAACCUCAAAAUAGGCCUCAAACAGUUCAAAGACCUUAGGGAGAUCCCAGGCCUUCUAGAGCUCUGGCGACCUAUGAGCCAGCAGAGGGAGGUGUCACAAUGAACCUUGUGAUCCAACAACCCUGGGCCCUGAGAAAACUAGCCGCCACGAGCACUGCUCCUAUUAAGUG